Molecule: ribosomal RNA, 464 nt
Filed under: uncultured bacterium
Lineage: Bacteria
Description: partial 16S ribosomal RNA
Rfam family: Bacterial small subunit ribosomal RNA
Source: RNAcentral
CUACGGGGCGCUCCAGAGGGGAAUAUUGCACAAUGGGCGCAAGCCUGAUGCAGCCAUGCCGCGUGUAUGAAGAAGGCCUUCGGGUUGUAAAGUACUUUCAGCGGGGAGGAAGGGAGUAAAGUUAAUACCUUUGCUCAUUGACGUUACCCGCAGAAGAAGCACCGGCGAACUCCGUGCCAGCAGCCGCGGUAAUACGGAGGGUGCAAGCGUUAAUCGGAAUUACUGGGCGUAAAGCGCACGCAGGCGGUUUGUUAAGUCGGAUGUGAAAUCCCCGGGCUCAACCUGGGAACUGCAUCUGAUACUGGCAAGCUUGAGUCUCGUAGAGGGGGGUAGAAUUCCAGGUGUAGCGGUGAAAUGCGUAGAGAUCUGGAGGAAUACCGGUGGCGAAGGCGGCCCCCUGGACGAAGACUGACGCUCAGGUGCGAAAGCGUGGGGAGCAAACAGGAUUAGAUACCCUUGUAGUC